AACAAAAACAUGUCUUUUUGGAUUUAAUUUAAAGUUUAACCUGCCCAAUGAGUGUUUUAAUGGCCGCAGUAAAUUGACUGUGCAAAGGUAGCAUAAUCAUUAGUUUUUUAAUUAGAAGCUGGAAUGAAUGGUUGGACGAAAUAUAAACUGUCUUAAAUUAAUAAAUAGAAUUUAAUUAUUUAGUAAAAAAGCUAAAAUGAUAAUAAAAGACGAGAAGACCCUAUAGAUCUUUAUAUUUGGUUAAUUAAAAUUAGUUAAGAAAAUUAUAUGAUUUAGUUUAUUAAAUAUUUUAUUGGGGUAAUAAUAAGAUUAAAAAAAUUCUUUUAUAAGAUAAACAUAAAUUAAUGGAUAAAAUUUGAUCCUUUAUUAAGAUAAUAAGAUUAAGUUACCUUAGGGAUAACAGCGUAAUUUUUUUAGAGAGUUCAUAUCGAUAAAAGAGUUUGCGACCUCGAUGUUG
Molecule: ribosomal RNA, 457 nt
Filed under: Hydrovatus acuminatus
Lineage: Eukaryota; Metazoa; Arthropoda; Insecta; Coleoptera; Dytiscidae
Description: partial 16S ribosomal RNA
Source: RNAcentral